This 867-nucleotide ribosomal RNA is filed under the name uncultured Lactobacillus sp. Its description in RNAcentral is "partial 16S ribosomal RNA". It matches the Rfam family "Bacterial small subunit ribosomal RNA". The record is from RNAcentral. Lineage: Bacteria; Bacillati; Bacillota; Bacilli; Lactobacillales; Lactobacillaceae.
GACGAACGCUGGCGGCGUGCUUAACACAUGCAAGUCGAACGAUGAAGCGCUGUCUUUUUGGUGGUGUGGAUUAGUGGCGAACGGGUGAGUAAUACGCGGGCAACCUGCCCCUCUGCUUCGGGAUAAGCUUUGGAAACGGGGUCUAAUACCGGAUGUGCCUGUCUGGUCGCAUGGCUGGGCGGGGGAAAGAUGUUUUUUGGCGGGGGAUGGGCUCGCCGGCCUAUCAGCUUGUUGGGGGGGGUGACGGCCUACCCAGGCCGCCGACGGGUAGCCGGGCUGAGAAGGUGGGCGGCCCCCCCUUAGGACUGAGAUACGGGCCCCAAACUCCUACGGGGAGGGAGGAGUGGGGGAUAAUUGCCAAAGGGCGCCAAGCCUGAUGCCGCGACCCCGCGUGGGGGAUGGAGGUUUUGGGUUGUAAACCCCUUUCGGGGGGGGACAAGGCUUCGUUUGGCGGGGUUGGGGGUACCCCUCAAAGAAGGCCCGGGUAACUUCGUGCCAGCGCCCCCGAAAUACGAGGGCGCGACGUUGCCCGGAAUUAUUGGGCUUAAGGGCUCGGAGGCGGGUUGUCGGGCUGCUGUGAAAAAGCGGGGUUCAAUCCUCCCUGCAGGGGUCCGGCAGGCUGGAGUUCUCAGGGUUUGCUGAAUCCUGGGUAACGGUGGAUGGCAGAUAUUAGGUAGAACUCGAUGCGAAGCAGGCCCUGGGCCGCACUACCUUUAGGGCGAACCUGGGAGGAACGGAUUUGAUUCCCUUGUAGUCAAGGGCGAAUCCACUUUGGUUCGCUCUGGGGAUCACUAGUCUUGAGCGGCCGACCGGGGAGCUCAAUCACCUAAGGGGUCGAUUACGCCGCUCACUGCGCUGUUUAAAAGU